Sebastes umbrosus (honeycomb rockfish) is the source of this 786-nucleotide long non-coding RNA. RefSeq lists it as uncharacterized. NCBI's taxonomy places the organism in Eukaryota, Metazoa, Chordata, Actinopteri, Perciformes, Sebastidae. The record is from RefSeq and is a predicted model, not a curated record. The transcript is spliced from 4 exons.
CGGGCUGGCCAGGUCAGCAUACAUGUCAUCGGAGUCUGCGCUACGCACCGAGCUGCUGCUGGACGAUGCCGAUGACACCGAUGACACGCUGCUCACGCUCAGCGAUCUGUGGCAAGAGACAACAGAUAGACAGGACAGAUAGACUGGAAAGGGAAGAUAGAGGGGACGACAUGCAGCAAAGGACCAUGGGUCGGAUCUGAGCCCAGCUCGCUGCGGUAAGGACUCAGCCUUGUUACAUGGGACACCCGCUCUACCAGAGCGGCUGCCACUGAAAGAGCUGCGCUGGGAGGAGUGGCUGGAGUAGGAGCUGAACGAGGAGGAGCGGCUGCGGGAGCGAGAUGACCCAGAGCCUGUAUAGGAUGAAGAGCGAGACGAAGACCUGAAACACACAGAUACAGAUUAAGAUUAAUGAACGGCCUCUUAAACACACCUGCAAACUCUAGUAGUGAAACAGGACAUCCCAACUUGAAGGAGGAGUUCUUACCGGGAGGAGUUGGACAGAGAGACAGAGGAGCCUGAGGGCCGAUGUCGCCGGCGGCCUCGUGGUGGGGAGCCGAGCCCAGGGCGUCUCCUGGGGGAUUUGGACCGACGCCAUGGGUCCUUCCACUCAUCUGGUCGCCUCAUAACUGGAACAACCUCUUUCUUUGAGGGAGGUUCCAUCGGCCUGCUGAGAAAAUUGAAAAUGGCUGGUUAGAGACAAGUGACAGUGCAAAGACAAACAGCUUUUUUUUUUUUAAAUCAUUCUAACAUCUACUAAUUUGAGAUAAACUGGGUGUACGUCACCAU